RNAcentral lists this long non-coding RNA (279 nucleotides) under Homo sapiens (human). Its description in RNAcentral is "non-protein coding lnc-GLDC-5:1". Lineage: Eukaryota; Metazoa; Chordata; Mammalia; Primates; Hominidae. The record is from RNAcentral.
AUGGCAUACAGUGGCCAGGGCCAGAAAGUGCAGAAGGUUAUGGUGCAGCCCAUCAACCUCAUCUUCAGAUACUUACAAAAUAGAUCGCAGAUUCAGGUGUGGCUCUAUGAGCAAGUGAAUAUGCAGAUAGAAGGCUGUAUCAUUGGUUUUGAUGAGUAUAUGAACCUUGUAUUAGAUGAUGCAGAAGAGAUUCAUUCGAAAACAAAGUCAAGAAAACAACUGGGUCGGAUCAUGCUAAAAGGAGAUAAUAUUACUCUGCUACAAAGUGUCUCCAACUAG